RNAcentral lists this ribosomal RNA (440 nucleotides) under uncultured bacterium. RNAcentral's name for it is "partial 16S ribosomal RNA". It matches the Rfam family "Bacterial small subunit ribosomal RNA", at positions 338 to 795 of the family's 1533-position model. The record is from RNAcentral.
CCUACGGGAGGCAGCAGUGGGGGAUAUUGCACAAUGGGGGAAACCCUGAUGCAGCGACGCCGCGUGGGUGAAGAAGCGCCUCGGCGCGUAAAGCCCUGUCAGCAGGGAAGAAAAUGACGGUACCUGAAGAAGAAGCCCCGGCUAACUACGUGCCAGCAGCCGCGGUAAUACGUAGGGGGCAAGCGUUAUCCGGAUUUAAUGGGUGUAAAGGGGGCGCAGACGGCGAUGCAAGCCAGGAGUGAAAGCCCGGGGCCCAACCCCGGGACUGCUCUUGGAACUGCGUGGCUAGAGUGCAGGAGGGGAAGGCGGAAUUCCUGGUGUAGCGGUGAAAUGCGUAGAUAUCAGGAGGAACACCGGUGGCGAAGGCGGCCUGCUGGACUGCAACUGACGUUGAGGCCCGAAAGCGUGGGGAGCAAACAGGAUUAGAUACCCCAGUAGUC